Long non-coding RNA from Carassius gibelio (silver crucian carp), 3271 nucleotides. RefSeq lists it as uncharacterized. The record is from RefSeq and is a predicted model, not a curated record. The transcript is spliced from 10 exons. Lineage: Eukaryota; Metazoa; Chordata; Actinopteri; Cypriniformes; Cyprinidae.
UUGAAUAACAAGCGCGCCUUUACGGAGAGACUCGAGAAGAUUUUUAGCGAAUUCUACUCUGAACUUCCGACAGAAUUAUUGUGCUUUGCCAGGGAUAUCGUUGACGUACAACCGAAGAACGAGUCUGAAGCGUGUGAGGUUAAAACUCAGAUCGGUGGCAAGCAGAAUAAAGAGAAAGCUGAAGAUGAUGAAAGAGCAGAUGGUCUCUGAUGUUCAGCAGGUCUCAGAAAUCUCUGGUUUGGUUCAGCUACAAAAUCAGACAUCAAGAGACUUCAACGGAGAGUCAGGACAGCUGAGAGGAUCAUCGGUGGCCCUCUGCCCAGCCUGCAAGAUCUUUACAUCUCCAGAGGGCGUCCCCAGCAGAAGAUCCAGACGAGAUUGAUGUGAUUUCUGGGAAGAAGAUCAUAUAAGACUGGUUCUGCUGGGAAAACUGGAACUGGGAAAAAUGGAAACAUCAGCAGAAACGUUGGGCCUUAUUCAUAAAGCGUGCAUACACUCUGAUUUGAUCUUAUACUGUGUGAACGCUUAAUCUACGCCUGUGCUCGUAUUUGUAAAAACUGUCUUUGACGGAAAAGUGUUUGGCGUCACAUCAGGGCUGAGCAGACGUACACACUUUUUCUUUCUCGAGAAACCUAUUUUUGGAAAUGAAAGCUGUUCUAAAUGAAAGGAUUUGGACUGGCGAUCUUUUACAUGUUAAUGACAUUAAGAGUCGUUUCCAAAGCAGAGAGCUGAAACCAUUAAGUAGCGCAAAAGUUCAAGAUCAAUUGCGAUUCAUAGAUUUCACAUCUGAACGUACUUGCGUUUUCUGUACGUACGUUAAUUUUAGAAAUCACACCUAUGCAUAUUUGAGAGAUGAUCUUAAGAUCAAUUUUAGGAUGCUCAUUUAUAAAUGAGGCCCCAUGACUUUAUGAUAAUUUAUAGUAAUUAAUUUUAAAAAUGGCAAUCGCCUCUCCUGGACCUCGCGCUUUCAUUAUUGUGAUUUAAAGUGGUUUGAUUCUCUGAGGUGGAGAAACAUACAGUAAAGGAGCUGAAAGAAAGGUUUGGAAAUAAAAAGAAAGGUCAGAAAAACGUUAAUAUUUUUAAUUCACAAAACUCAGUCAGAGAAAGAAACCACUGAGAAGUUUAUAGCGGAAAGUUCUCUGGAUCUUCAACCCUUCACUCGGAGGUUCUUCUGUUAAACGUCUGCCAGUUUCUCAAUGAAUGAAGUUUAACAAACGCAGUAUUUCUUUGCGUCUGUGUGAUGUGUGUUUAUUUCUUAAGUAUGUGUGUAUGCUACAUGUGUUCAUGUGUGCGAACAUGAUUGUUCAGUUUUAUUUGUGAAUCAGGCUCCAUCUUUAAUUAGCAGGAGGAGGAAACAACAUAAUUUCUUAACUAAAAAAGAGAAAAGGCUAAACUCAGUAUAAGCUGCUGUUCUCUCAGGAUGUUCUUUGACCAUAUCCUGACAUAUUAUAAAUAAUGUUAUUCGUGUUUUAUGCUGUAUUUGUUUUCUUAGAAGCAUUGUGAUAUGUAGCCUAUUAUCUGAAAUUACAGAGACCUUGCUCAAAAAAAUCCUUUGAUGUCGUUGUUUGCAGCAUUUGUACAUAUGAUGAGUGCAUGAGUCACUCUUGGUGAAGAUAUCUGCUUCUGCAGAGCCCAAUGCAGUAUUCAGCUCUCAGCUCACUCGACCACUUCUUACUCUGCCAAGGAUCCGCUUAAGCGCUUCAUCAUGCAUAACCUCACAUGUGCAGAGAUUCAGACUCCAGUGGGGUUUCUGUAUGGGAUUCUGCCUGUUAUACUGAAUCAAACACUCAAUCCUGACUGUGAACAGGGCUGGUAUUCUGAGGAUGGGGUUAAGCUAGCAGAUCCGUCAGAUCCUCAAACAUUAAUGUAUCCUGUUAUUUCUGUCUCAUCUGAUCAUCUCGUCACUUCUCACUGUGUGAAUCUGAAUCAUCAGAUCAUCUGUGAUUCUGCUGAUGGACGUCAUUACAGUCAUGAGAUCAUGUUCAGAGUGAGGAAUGGAACCGCAGAGACUCCAAACUCAGUUUCAUCUGAUAAACAUCAGUUGUGGUGGUUUUCUAUCCUGAUCUUCUUUGUUUUGGCAUUUCUGUUUCUCGAUGCAUAAAAAUAUAUUAAGGCGUUUUCAGAGGCAAGCUUGAUUCAUCUGUCAGCAUGAGGAAUCAGAAAACAGUUUAAUUCCCUUUCUGUUCAGAGGAUGCUCUUCAUCAUCGUCAUCAUUAUGAUCAUCAUCCCAGUCAUGUACACAAACUCAAGGCUGAAUGUCAAUGUGAUGUACAACAUGAUUAGUUCUGAACCAGUCUCAGCUUGUUUUAACACUUGGCCUAUUUUCAUGCAUUUCAAUCCCUCCCCAGCAGGCACAAAACAUCAAGACACUGGUAUUUGGUUACAUUUCGGUUGCAACGUCAGGUGACCAAAAUUCAAUGUCAAUUCAAAUUUUAAUGUCAAUUUGAUGUUCAAUAUCCGAUGAAUGAUAUUUGUGUUUUUUAAGUUGUAUAACCAAAAGUCAACCUCGAAUUGGCAUCAAAUACUAACGUCUACUCGAUUUCCCUUCUCAACCCAAAUGCAACAUCUUUUCAAUUCUAUCUGACAUUAUUACAUUUACAUUUAUUCUUUAGCUGAUGCUUUUAUCCAAAGCGACUUACAAUUGCUAUAUAUGUCAGAUGUCGCAUGCCUCUGGAGCAACUAGGGGUUAAGUGUCUUGCUCAAGGAUACAUUGGUGUCUCAGUGGAUUCGAACCUGGGUCUCUAACCUAAGGUAUGGGUCUUAUCCACUGUGCCAACACCACACCCAUUAUAUUGAUGUCCUGUGUCUGCUGGGUACAGUUUUUCCACUGUUCCGUUAUCACUGAAAUGAAAGUUAACAGCAAACUUUGUGACAAAAGACAUUGUGACUGACAAACUGACAGUGACUGACAUCAUACUGACAGACAUCAGACUGACAUUCAGGUUUUUAGGCUUCUUAUACUUGAAUGGUCAAAUACACAGAGUAAUGCCAAAAUGUGUGCGUAUUCAUGUAAACACAAUUGAUUGUUUUAAGUGAACAAACUUUUAGGGAAAAACUGUUUUGGAAGUGUGUCAGAAUUAGAUUCACACAUUAUCGCUGUAGGUCUUAAAGUGACAGCAACCUAUUAUUUACACACUGCUGCCAUUUAUAACAGCUUCCUUAACCUCACAAAGAAUUUAGUUAUAAAUCAGAUUUUUUAUAGGGUUGGAUUCACUAACUAAAUGUUGUUUUAAUGUACACACUGGAAAUGUUUAUUAUCAAUCUUAACAAA